This 510-nucleotide ribosomal RNA is filed under the name Leptosciarella rejecta. RNAcentral's name for it is "partial small subunit ribosomal RNA". Lineage: Eukaryota; Metazoa; Arthropoda; Insecta; Diptera; Sciaridae. The record is from RNAcentral.
GUCUUUUAGUAUUUAAUUAAAAGUUUAACCUGCCCAUUGAUUUUUUUUUAAAAGGCUGCGGUAUUUUGACCGUACAAAGGUAGCAUAAUCAUUAGUUUUUUAAUUGGAAACUAGAAUGAAUGGUUGAAUGAAAUAUUAACUGUUUUAAUUAAAAAUUUUAGAAUUUUACUUUUUAAUUAAAAGGUUUAAAUAAAUUUAAAAGACGAGAAGACCCUAUAGAAUUUUAUAUUAAUUAUUAUGUAAUAAAUUAAGAUAAAUUUUUAUUAUUUAUAUAUGUAAUAUUUUAUUGGGGUGAUAAUAAAAAUUUAUAAACUUUUAUUUAUUUAAACAUUAAUAUAUGAUUUUUUGAUCCAUUAAUAAUGAUUAUAAGUUUAAAUUACCUUAGGGAUAACAGCGUAAUUUUUUUUUAAGUUCUUAUUAAUAAAAAAGUUUGCGACCUCGAUGUUGGAUUAAGAUUAAUUUUAGGUGCAAAAGUUUAAAAUUUUAAGUCUGUUCGACUUUUAAAUUCUU